This 315-nucleotide long non-coding RNA is filed under the name Malus domestica (apple). Its description in RNAcentral is "long non-coding RNA (MDOM_LNC005228)". Lineage: Eukaryota; Viridiplantae; Streptophyta; Magnoliopsida; Rosales; Rosaceae. The record is from RNAcentral.
UAAAAUUCGUAUGGGUCUUGAGAAUCAGGCGGGAAAAUAUUUCCUUGUGUGGCUACUGCGCACUGAGAUGAAGCAUCCGAAGAGUUGUCGGAGUCCGAACUAUCUUCAUUUUCUUCUUGCAAUUCCUUCAUGAGGAUUUUGGCUAGAGCCUUGGGCUUUGAUGACUUCUUUUUCUUCGAACUGCUUGAAGAUCUGGAUGACUUGGUCUUGCCUUUGAGAGAGGAAGAAGGACUAAUGUCCGAUAAUGACUCGAUUUCUUCCUUGAUUGGUUCUGGUAAAGCCGUUGCUGGAGGAGCUGCUACUGCAGGUACUGAG